GCGGGCGUCGUAUAAUGGUUAUUAUACAUCCUUGCCAAGGAUGAGACGGCAGUUCGAUCCUGCUCGCCCGCU
This 72-nucleotide transfer RNA is filed under the name Candidatus Microgenomates bacterium. RNAcentral's name for it is "tRNA-Gly". It matches the Rfam family "tRNA". Rfam says of the family: Transfer RNA (tRNA) molecules are approximately 80 nucleotides in length. Their secondary structure includes four short double-helical elements and three loops (D, anti-codon, and T loops). Lineage: Bacteria; Candidatus Microgenomatota. The record is from RNAcentral.